GUAGGUGGCAAGCGUUGUCCGGAAUUAUUGGGCGUAAAGCGCGCGCAGGUGGUUCUUUAAGUCUGAUGUGAAAGCCCCCGGCUCAACCGGGGAGGGUCAUUGGAAACUGGGGAACUUGAGUGCAGGAGAGGAAAGUGGAAUUCCACGUGUAGCGGUGAAAUGCGUAGAUAUGUGGAGGAACACCAGUGGCGAAGGCGACUUUCUGGCCUGUAACUGACACUGAGGCGCGAAAGCGUGGGGAGCAAACAGGGAUUAGAUACCCUGGUAGUCCACGCCGUAAACGAUGAGCGCUAAGUGUUGGGGGGGUUUCCCGCCCCGUCAGUGCUGCAGCUAACGCAUUAAGCACUCCGCCUGGGGAUACGGUCGCAAGACUG
RNAcentral lists this ribosomal RNA (374 nucleotides) under uncultured organism. Its description in RNAcentral is "partial 16S ribosomal RNA". It matches the Rfam family "Bacterial small subunit ribosomal RNA", at positions 527 to 896 of the family's 1533-position model. The record is from RNAcentral.